Molecule: ribosomal RNA, 265 nt
Filed under: uncultured prokaryote
Description: partial 16S ribosomal RNA
Rfam family: Bacterial small subunit ribosomal RNA
Source: RNAcentral
UACGGGGGUGCAAGCGUUGUUCGGAAUCAUUGGGCGUAAAGAAGCGUGUAGGCGGCUGAGCAAGUCAGAUAUGAAAUCCCUGGGCUUAACCCAGGAAGUGCAUUUGAAACUGUUCAGCUUGAGUAAGGAAGAGGGAAGUGGAAUUCCUGGUGUAGAGGUGAAAUUCGUAGAUAUCAGGAGGAACACCGGUGGCGAAGGCGACUUCCUGGUCCUAUACUGACGCUGAGACGCGAGAGCGUGGGGAGCAAACAGGAUUAGAUACCCU